Populus trichocarpa (black cottonwood) is the source of this 456-nucleotide long non-coding RNA. RefSeq lists it as uncharacterized. The transcript is spliced from 2 exons. The record is from RefSeq and is a predicted model, not a curated record. NCBI's taxonomy places the organism in Eukaryota, Viridiplantae, Streptophyta, Magnoliopsida, Malpighiales, Salicaceae.
GAUGCCCCUUUUGAGUAUGCCCCGUAUCGUGGUGGUUGUAGAACACCAAAAUUGUGAGGAACAGCAAGUUCUUGAGUGGACAAAUCCAUGUAGGAAAGUCUUCUGACAAAGUUCCAGAAUUGUUUAGCAUCAUGAAGCCCAUUAUUCCAUGUUAUAUUCAAUUCCAUUACAGAAACAAGUGGUUCUGCAGAUUGUUGCUAAAGUUGGAUAAGUACAGAAACCUGAUAUCUUUUUCAGAACCGACAAAGAAGACAAGUCAACUGGUUGCCAUGCGGUUGUGUUGUGAAAUAUAGCCACCCCGAUAGCAUUUUUCCUUCAAUGCCCUUGUCCAAAUUUUCUUCCCAGCCUUCGAAAGGUCCUUUGACUUAAUUUGUACUUGUAUAGUGGCAAAACAGUAAGCUUGUAAUCGAUUAUCCUUUGUUUAUAAAGGAGAAUGUAGCUAGUUUUUGUGUGCAA